RNAcentral lists this ribosomal RNA (301 nucleotides) under uncultured bacterium. RNAcentral describes it as "partial 16S ribosomal RNA". It matches the Rfam family "Bacterial small subunit ribosomal RNA", at positions 509 to 807 of the family's 1533-position model. The record is from RNAcentral.
CAGCAGCCACGGGAAUACGUAGGGUGCAAGCGUUGUCCGGAAUUAUUGGGCGUAAAGAGCUCGUAGGCGGUUUGUCGCGUCUGCUGUGAAAUCCCGAGGCUCAACCUCGGGCUUGCAGUGGGUACGGGCAGACUAGAGUGCGGUAGGGGAGAUUGGAAUUCCUGGUGUAGCGGUGGAAUGCGCAGAUAUCAGGAGGAACACCGAUGGCGAAGGCAGAUCUCUGGGCCGUAACUGACGCUGAGGAGCGAAAGCGUGGGGAGCGAACAGGAUUAGAUACCCCAGUAGUCCCUGUCUCUUAUAC